GUUACUUAAUAUACACAUGCAAGUCUCCGCACCCCUGUGAGAACGCCCUUUUAAACCCCCUAGGAACAAGGAGCUGAUAUCAGGCACAACCCUUAGCCCAUGACAUCUAGCUAUGCCACACCCACAAGGGAAUUCAGCAGUGAUUAACAUUGAAAAUCAGCGCCAGCUUGAUUCAGUUAAAGUAAAAAGAGCCGGCAAAUCUGGUGCCAGCCGCCGCGGUUACACCACGUGGCUCAAAUUGACCUCAUUCGGCGUAAAGCGUGCUUAAAGUAUAUACUAAUUGUGAUUAAAUUUAAACUAAGCUGUGACACGCUUGUUUACAAGAGACUCAAAAACGAAAGUUAUCACAAUUUAAACAACUUGAAUACACGACAGCUAGGUUACAAACUGGGAUUAGAUACCCCACUAUGCCUAGCCGUAAACCUUAAAUUACAUAUAAAUCGCCCGGGAACUACGAGCCAAGCUUAAAACCCAAAGGACUUGACGGUACCCCACAUCCCCCUAGAGGAGCCUGUCCUAUAAUCGAUACCCCCCGUUUAACCUCACCAUUUUUAGCCUAUUCCACCUGUAUACCUCCGUCGUCAGCUUACCACGUGAGCGUUCUUAGUGAGCCCAAUGUCCCCUCGUCAAUACGUCAGGUCAAGGUGCAGUAUAUAAAAUGGGGAAGAGAUGGGCUACACUCUCUACUAUUAGAGAAAACGAAAGACUUUAUGAAACCUAGUCAGAAGGCGGAUUUAGUAGUAAAAAAGGACGAGAGAGCCUUUUUUAACUCGGCACUGGGGUGUGUACACACCGCCCGUCACCCUCUUCAAAGCCAUUUUUUAGUAUUUAACUUGUAUAAGCAUAAUAGAAGAGGCAAGUCNNNNNNNNNNNNNNNNNNCGGAAGGUGUGCUUGGAAA
RNAcentral lists this non-coding RNA (899 nucleotides) under Pseudis cardosoi. RNAcentral describes it as "partial 12S ribosomal RNA". It matches the Rfam family "Bacterial small subunit ribosomal RNA". Lineage: Eukaryota; Metazoa; Chordata; Amphibia; Anura; Hylidae. The record is from RNAcentral.